RNAcentral lists this ribosomal RNA (209 nucleotides) under Vibrio parahaemolyticus. RNAcentral describes it as "partial 16S ribosomal RNA". It matches the Rfam family "Bacterial small subunit ribosomal RNA", at positions 1 to 206 of the family's 1533-position model. Lineage: Bacteria; Pseudomonadati; Pseudomonadota; Gammaproteobacteria; Vibrionales; Vibrionaceae. The record is from RNAcentral.
AAAUUGAAGAGUUUGAUCAUGGCUCAGAUUGAACGCUGGCGGCAGGCCUAACACAUGCAAGUCGAGCGGAAACGAGUUAUCAGAACCUUCGGGGGGACGAUAACGGCGUCGAGCGGCGGACGGGUGAGUAAUGCCUAGGAAAUUGCCCUGAUGUGGGGGAUAACCAUUGGAAACGAUGGCUAAUACCGCAUGAUGCCUACGGGCCAAAG